GCAUCGACACUUGAGUCGAUGGGAACCCUCGAUCUCCCCCCUCACCUUGUUGCUUCCUCUCCUCCCCCGACGCCGCCGAUUCCCCAAUUCUGGCUCCGGCAGCGAGCAGCUGGCUGCGGACGCGCCGUCAAAACUCCAGGAGGAUCUGGAUCUCCGAUGUACUCUCCGCGGCAUGCCGGCAUCGGCGGCGCGAAGAUUCAGCACCGGCUUAGAUCGACGGCGCCCUUCGCCGCCGGCUUCCGUGGAGACCAGCCAAUUGUCUGAAGAUGUCAAUAUCGGGAUUCCAAAUGAAGCAAUAAGAUCAGCCAUGUGCAGCUUUGGCUGCGCCGACAACCUCUGAGACUGAGCUGAGCUCUUCUAGGCAUGGAUGAAGUAUCCAACAUUUUGAAGAGUCUUUUUUGUGCUCAGGGCAUUCAUAGUGCAAUCAAUCAUGAGGACAUAAUGCAUGCUAACGAUUACCAGAAGCUGCGCCUAGAAGAAGCAGAAGCUUCACAGGCGGCAUAAAGGGAAGCUGAAGCUUUAAGGUUUUAUGCCUAUCAUGGAUACUUAGAAGUUGUAACAAUUUUUCUGUUGCUACAUGGACUGGAUCAUUGGACGAGCUGGUGCAGUGGUGCUGUGGGAACACCGUUCUGUUUUCAGAUGGGUGCUCUAAAUGGCAAAGCAACUGUCCCCUGCUGAACUGUUUUAAGAACUACUAGGAAGAUACUUGUUCAUCCUGAAGUCCUGAUCUGCCAAUCUACACCUUCAUACAACUGCAUGGUGGUUCAGUCAGCUCAAUGAGCGUAACUGAACAUUUGAAGAGCUUUUUGUUUUUUUAACAAGAACCACAAUCUAUCCAUAAUCCAUGGAUAUGCUGCUGUUUGAGAACCUGCUGUCAUAUUGGCUGAAAACCGUUCCGGAUUAAGUAAAGGGGGUGAUUCGUCCGGAUUUACAAGUUCA
Long non-coding RNA from Oryza sativa Japonica Group (Japanese rice), 939 nucleotides. RefSeq lists it as uncharacterized. The record is from RefSeq and is a predicted model, not a curated record. Lineage: Eukaryota; Viridiplantae; Streptophyta; Magnoliopsida; Poales; Poaceae.